UCCACCUGGGAGAAAUGGGUCACAGACAGGACAGCUGGAAGUGUUGGUGUUUUAUUUAAUACUUAAUGGUUAAAAAACUCAACUAUCAUUAUGGCCCCUCAACCUCUACAAGUUAGUGACCAAGCCAAACUAAUAGUGCAGGCAGCUGUGGAAUCCCUGAGGCUGGCCAGGGGAGAGUGAGCGUUAGGUUUUACCACAUCCCCAUCCUUACAACAUGCUCCUCCAAGCUCAGCAAAUUCUUAUCAGAUGAUAAUGGGGAAACAUCUCAAUUUUAGUGUCACUACCACUAUCCAAGUCUGGAAUCCCCAAGAUUUAAUAGACAAAUAAGAAUCUUCUUAUGUGAGUGUAAGUUAGCUUUUCAUCAUGGUGACCAAAAUACCUGACAAGAACAACUUAGAGGAGGAAAAGUUCAGUUUGGAUCAUGGUUUUAGUCCAUGGUCAACUGACUCCGUUGCUCUGGGUCUGGGGAGAGCAGAACAUCAUGGUGAAAGAUUGUGGCGGAAGAAAGCUGUUCAGCUCAUGACAGUUAAGAAGCAGAAAGGAGAGAGAGAGGGAGGGGAGGGGGAAUGGAGAAAAGAAGGGGCUAUAAACCUUUCCAGGGCACCCCAUCCCCACUCCAUGACCUAUUUUCCCCAACUAGGUCCUCAGCCAUCAAUGAACUAAUCUACUAGUGAGAGCAAAGCUUCAUGAUCCAAUCAUUUCCCCCAAAUCCCACCACUGAACACAGUCCAAAUCCAAAUCAUAAAAAUAAG
Molecule: long non-coding RNA, 752 nt
Filed under: Marmota monax (woodchuck)
Lineage: Eukaryota; Metazoa; Chordata; Mammalia; Rodentia; Sciuridae
Source: RNAcentral